RNAcentral lists this microRNA precursor (123 nucleotides) under Arabidopsis suecica. Its description in RNAcentral is "MIR405". It matches the Rfam family "MIR405 microRNA precursor family". Lineage: Eukaryota; Viridiplantae; Streptophyta; Magnoliopsida; Brassicales; Brassicaceae. The record is from RNAcentral.
UCAACCCAUUUAACCUUAUAACCCAUCAAAUUAAAUGAGUUCAUGGGUUGACUCAACGCAUAUGCUAAAUGAGUUGAGUCAACCCAUGAACUCAUUUAACUCUAAACUCAUUGGGUAAUGAGU